CGGGGAAUAUUGCGCAAUGGGGGAAACCCUGACGCAGCGACGCCGCGUGAGCGAAGAAGGCCUUAGGGUUGUAAAGCUCUGUUUUAGGGGACGAAUGUUAUGGGGAGAAAUAUGCCCUGUAAAUGACGGUACCCUAAGAGGAAGCCCCGGCUAACUACGUGCCAGCAGCCGCGGUAAGACGUAGGGGGCGAGCGUUGUCCGGAAUUACUGGGCGUAAAGAGCACGUAGGCGGGAACUUAAGUCAGGUGUGAAAGACCGAGGCUCAACCUCGGGUAUGCACUUGAAACUGGGUUUCUUGAGGGCAGGAGAGGAAAGCAGAAUUCCUGGUGUAGCGGUGAAAUGCGUAGAAAUCAGGGGAAAUACCAGUGGCGAAGGCGGCUUUCUGGACUGACCCUGACGCUGAGGUGCGAAAGCGUGGGUAGCAAACAG
This 429-nucleotide ribosomal RNA is filed under the name uncultured bacterium. RNAcentral's name for it is "bacterial SSU rRNA". It matches the Rfam family "Bacterial small subunit ribosomal RNA", at positions 355 to 775 of the family's 1533-position model. The record is from RNAcentral.